GCCAACGGCCAUACCAUGCUGAAAGCACCGGUUCUCGUCUGAUCACCGCAGUUAAGCAGCAUCGGGCGCGGUCAGUACUUGGGAGGGUGACCACCUGGGAACACCGCGUGCUGUUGGCAU
Molecule: ribosomal RNA, 120 nt
Filed under: Araneus diadematus (European garden spider)
Lineage: Eukaryota; Metazoa; Arthropoda; Arachnida; Araneae; Araneidae
Source: RNAcentral